GGGUGACAGGCAUGGCGACAACAAAAAAGGUAGAGUCAAGCUUUUGGGGGCAAAGUUAACGAGAUCCAAAGCGCAUCCUAACCUCAAAAAGUGAGGGAUUCCUAUGCCCGCGAGCGUCCUGCCUGCCCCUCCCCUCCCCUCCCUCUACCCCCGUGUGUGUGUGUGUGUAUGUGCAAUGUGGCGCACUUCCUGGUUGGGCGCACGUUGCUUUCCUGCACUCCCGCCCCCUUGGCACCUCGAACCCCCACUUCUAUCUAAAAUCCCCCUCCCAGUGGCGUAGCUGUUGUGCCUGCCUCUGUUUGUUAAUGAAAAGAAUGAAGAAAACCGACCAAGAAGCAGGAUUUGAAGUGUCACCGACCGGUGAAUACCGUGCACAUUGCACACAUUAUAAUGGGAAAAAUAAUUGUGAAUUAUGUAGAACAUAUACUUUGUGGUCAAUUAAUAUCUACCUUUAAAAACUAAAA
Molecule: long non-coding RNA, 464 nt
Organism: Drosophila teissieri
Lineage: Eukaryota; Metazoa; Arthropoda; Insecta; Diptera; Drosophilidae
Exons: 2
Source: RefSeq, a predicted model, not a curated record